UAUCCUAACCGGUGCGAAGGUAGCAUAAUCACUUGUUCUUUAAAUGGGGACUUGUAUCAACGGCACCACGAGGGUUAGACUGUCUCCUUUUUCAAAUCAGUGAAAUUAAUCUCCCCGUGAAGAAGCGGGGAUACUCAUAUAAGACGAGAAGACCCCAUGGAGCUUCAAACCCAACUACACCCCUAGCUCUUAUAGCCCCACAACCCCCCCCCCC
RNAcentral lists this ribosomal RNA (214 nucleotides) under Mantidactylus melanopleura. RNAcentral describes it as "partial 16S ribosomal RNA". It matches the Rfam family "Bacterial large subunit ribosomal RNA", at positions 1937 to 2290 of the family's 2925-position model. The record is from RNAcentral. Lineage: Eukaryota; Metazoa; Chordata; Amphibia; Anura; Mantellidae.